GAAUCGCGCCAUUUGGACGGUGGCUUCUAUAUUCGUCUGUUUUCCACUAUAACUCAGUCAAAUUUGAACCAAUUGACACAACUUUUGGAAUGUGGUGAGAUAGGUAUAGUAUCUACCCGUGUACAACAUUUCAAGUCAAUUGGUUCAUAAUUGACUGAGUUAUAGUGGGAAACAGACGAAUAUAGAAGCCACCGCCCAAGUAGCGCGAUACCCUACAAUCAUUAAUGAAAGAGAAACUCAAUUAUUCAUAUUCGGUUACUUUUGCAGUUCUAGACGCUAGUCAAAACCAUGAGAUUAUGGAUCGCAUUUUAAAAAUAAUACUUUUAUGAAAAUAUAAAUAAAAAAUAGAAUACUAAAGAAUUUGCCCUUAUGAGAUAAAAAUUGAAAAUAGUACGAUCUAACAAUUUAAAGUUUGAUCAUUUACUUCUCUCCAGAAGUUUUUGUUCAAAGAUUUUUCCUGAAAGAUGCAGUGAUGCCUACAAUUUUUUUUUAUUGAUUCAGGAUUGAUUUUUUUUUCAGAAGAUCUCCCAGGAAGAUCUCGACAGGAGCACCUUCAGGGAAAAUUCCAGGAAUUCCUUUAGAAAUUAUUUCUGGAGGAUUCAGGGAUGCCUUCUAGAGAUACAUCAGAGAUUCAUCCAGAAGAACCUCAGGGUAUGAUAAAUUAUUCAGGGAUUCCUUUUGAAUUUCCUUCAGGCAUUCCUACAAAAGUUUCCUUAGGAACUAGUCCAGAAGUUUCCUCAGAGAUUCCUCCAGGACAUCCUUCACAAAUUCCUCUAGAACUCAAAAAAGGGGUUUCUCCUGACGUGCUGUAGGUAUCGCUCAAGGGAUGCCUUCAGGUGUUCAAUAGUCAUAAAUGCCUCCAGGAGAUCCAUCAAGAAUUUCGUAAGAAGUUUCUUCAGGAAUUCCUGCUCUUUAGAAAUUAAUCUAGGGGUUCUUUCAAGGAUUCUUCCAGGAAUUUCAGGGAUUCUUGAUUUCCCAUAGAAUUCCUUCGGAGAUUCCUCCUGGAAUUCCUUCGGUGAUUUUUCCGGGGAUUCCUCCUGAAAUUCGUUCGGGGACUUCACUUAGAAUUCUUUUGGGGAUUCCUCCUGAAGUUCCUUUGGGGAUUUCUCCUGGAAUUCCUUCGGAAACUUCUCCUGGACUUACUAUGGAGAUUCCUCUUGAAAAUUCUUCGAUUAUUCCGGUUGAAAAUAAUUCUGAGAUUCUUUCCAGAAUUCCUUCAGGGGUUCCGUCUGGGAUUCCUGCAGGGAUUUCUCCUGAAAUUCCUUCAGGAAAUCCUUCUGGAGUUCCGUCAGGUAUUCCUUCUGGACUUCCUUAAUAGAUUCCUCCUGGACCUCCUUAGGGGAUUCUUCCUGGAAUUCGUUCGAAGAUACCUCCUGGAAUAAAUUCGAAGACUCCUCCUUGAAUUCUUUUGGAGAUUCCUUGUGGAAUUCCUUCGGCGAUUUCUCAUAGAGUUUUUUUUUUGAGAAUUGCUCUUGAAAUUCCGUCGGGGGUUCCUCCUGAAAUUUAUACAGGAAUUCCCACCGGAAUUUCUUUAGAGAUUCCUCCUGGAUUUCUUUCGGAGUUUCCUCUUGGAGUUCUUUUGGUGAUUCCUCUUCGAAUAUCCUAAGAGAUUCCUCCUGGUAUUACUCAUGGAAUUCCUCCAGGAAUUUUUCAUGGAUUUCCUUCGGAAAUUCCUCCUAGAAUUCCUUCGAGGUUUCCUUCUGGAACUCUUUCAGUGAUUCCUCUUAGAAUUCCUUCGAGAAUUUCUUCUGGAAGUCUUUCGGGAUUCCUCUUGGAAUUCCUUCGGUGGCUCCUCCUAGAAUUUCCUGAGGAGUUUCUCUGGAACUCCUUCCGUGAUUCCUUCUUGAUAUUUUCGUUUAUUCCUCCUAGAAAUCCUUUGGGAAUUCUCCUCGAAUUCCCUUGGAAAUUCCCACAAGAAUUUUUUGAGGAUUCCUGCUGGAAUUGCUUAGUGGAUUAUAGCUGUAAUUCCUUUGGGUUUCGUGCUAGAGUUCUUUUGGGAUUUUUUUUUGAAUUCCUGCGGAGAUUUUUCCUAGAAUUAAUUCAGGGGGUUCCUCAUCGAAUUCCUAUGAGGAUUCCUCCUGGAUCUCCUUCGGGGAUUCCUCCUAAAAAUCCUUCGGGGUUUCCUCUUAAAAUUUAUCCAGAGGUUCCACAUGGAAUUACUUCGAGGAUUUCUCCUGGAAUUUCUUCGAAGAUUCAUUCUAAAUAUCCUUCCUGGACUUCCUUCGUGAAUUCCUCCUGAAAUUCUUUCGGUAUUCUCUUGAUAUUCCGUCGUGGAUUCCUCCUUUAAUUCCUUCAGGGUUUCCUCCUGGAAUUCCUUUGGUGAUUCCUAUUAGAAUUCCUUCGGAGAUUCCUCUUGAAAUUCCAUCAUCAGAAAUUGAAUUUCUUCGGUAUUUUUUCUUAGCAAAGCAUUCCUUCGAUAAAUUCCUCCUGGAAUUUAGGGAUUAUUCCUAAAGUUUCUUUGGGGAUUCCUUCUUAAAUUUCUUUGGAGAUUCCUCCUGGAUUUCCUAUGGGGAUUCGACUUGGAAUUCCUUCGGAACCUUUGAGGAUUCCGCUUGGAAUUCCUUCGGAGAUUCCUCCCGGAAUUCCUUGGGUACUUCGUUCUGGGAUUCCUGCAGGGAUUUUUCAUGCAAUUUCUCUUAGACUUCCUUCGAAGAUUCCUUCUGGAAUUUCUUCGAGGAUUCUUCCUGGAAUUCCCUCAAAGAUUCUUCCUAUAAUUUAUUAUGGGAUUCUUUCUGUACUUCCUUCGAAGAUUCCUCCUUAAAUUUCUUAGAGGAUUUCUCCUGAUAUUUCGUCGGGGGUCCCAUCUGGAAUUCCUUCGAGAUUUCUCUUGGAAUACCUUUGGUGAUUCCUCAACAAAUUUCUUCCGAGAUUUCUCCAGGAAUUUAUUCUGGGAUUUCUCCUGAUAUUCCGCCGGAGAUUUUUCUGGAAUUCGCUCUUGGAUUUUUUUGGUGAUUCCUUUUCUUCAGAGAGUCCUCCUGAAAAUUCUUCGGGAAUCCCUCACGGAAUUCCUUUGGAUUCCUCUUUGAAUUCCUUCUGGGAUUCUUCAUAGAAUUCCUUCAGGGAUUCCAGUUGGAAUUCCUUCGAGGAUUUCUAGUAGAAUGCUUUCAGCAAUUCCUCCUAAAAUGCUUUCAGGAAUUUCUCCUGUAUUUCCUUUAGAGAUUCCUCCUGGGUGUUUUUCGUUGAUUCCUCCUAGAAAUCCUUAGGGAGGAUUCCUUCUCGAAUCCCGAUGGGGAUUCCUCCUGGAAUUCCUUUGGGGAUCAUUUCCGUAAUUCCCUUCGUAUUGCUGCUUGAAUACAUUUGUGGAAUCCACCUGGAAUUGAUUUGGGAAUUCUUCAUGGAUUUCCUUCUGAAAUUCCAAUCAGGGAUUUUUUCAGAAGUUUCUGCAGGAGCAGGGAUCUCUCUAAGGGAGAUUCUUGCACCACCAGAAAUUCCUGCUGAAGUUCUUUCAGGGUUCCAUACAGCAUUUUCUGCAGAGAUUAGUCCAGAAUUUUCUUCAUGGAUUCCUCCAGGAGUUUCUUGGGGGCUUCUCCUAGAAUUUCUUCUGAGACUCCUCCCUGAAAUCAUACGGGGAUUCCUUAGAGUAAAUAGUGCGACCUUACUAUCGAAUUUGAUAGCUUCUGAAGGUGCUAAGAUAAUAAAACAAAAACUGUAGUAUUUUAUCGAUAUUGAUUGCCUUUUAUUUGCAAUGGAGUAAUGCAACAUGUAUUAAACUAAGGAUACAAGUCAUGUUAGAAUAGGUCCAAUUACUGGUCGCAGUGACGGACCCAAACAGAAAUAAUAAACAGGUAUGCAUUCAAACGUAAUAGUUUAUGUCAUCAAAAGUCAUGAAAAAGCUCAGACUACAAAUUCUAGAGUGUAAUGACAACUAUUCUUUGCUUUGCCAAUGUUGACAUUAUGGUCAAAUUUUGGCCACGCCGAUUCACGCCGCCGCCGCCGCCGCCGAAAGCUGCCACCGGCAUAACGCCGAUGACGCCGCCGCCGCCGGCCAUAAAUGGCCCUCACGCCGCCGCCGAGCAAAAUAUAAUCGGCGCACAGUCAUAUGCAAGCAGGCAUAUUUGAAACUUAUCAAUGAAAAAUUUCAUUUUUCUUACAUAAAAUGCUAUUACUUCACAUAACUAUUUAAAUACGUUACCAGUAAAAUUUUAAGUAAAACAAAUGGUUUUCUUAAGAUUGAAUCUACCCUUUUUCAUAUGCUGGAAAGCUUGGGGCAAAACAAUCACUUUGAAAUUUCACACCCUUGGCGUGCAUUUGUGCAUUUCAUGCGGGGAUGGCAGGGCUGGUAGCAAGUCACUUUGUAGGGACUUGGCCACUUUUUUUGGGCUGGUCAAUAAAAAGUCUCUUUUUUCAAGAUCAGGUCACUAAAGUCACUAUUUUCACCUAAAGAGUCACUUUUUCCAACUUUUUUGGAAAAUUGAAAAUAUACGAAUUGAAAAAUGUUCAAGUUUUUAUUUUCAGUGUUUAGUAUAUGCCUGUGAUAUCGUUAUUAACAUUGAUUUAUUGAAACAGAGCGAGACAGCGUUCGUACCCCCUGUUUGUGCCAGUAUCCCGUUCACUCAAACAGCUCGAACUGAUGUGCCUGCGGCUGUGGUUCAAGGAAACUAGUCGUAUCUCCCAUUAGCUCAUUAAAACGCAAGCAAAAAAGGGAUGACUAGUGUUCUUCAACCACAUUUAUGCACUCGAGCUCGAACAAAGUGCGAAUAUUUUUCUACGCGUCGAUGAGAGUGCAGGCCUAAUAGAGAGUCAGAGAGUCGCUAUUUAGUGACUUAGUCACUUUUUUAGGCCCCAAAAUAAAACUAACAACUUCUCUAAGAAUGUCUGUAACUGUUAUGAAAUUUUCACCAAAAACUCUUUAAGCAUGAGACAUUUCAAAUAAAUUAGGAAUUCUAUUGUUUUCUUCUUGUAAUGUUUCGGAAAUUGUUCAAGAGCGGGACGUAGAGAAAUAUAUCAGGAAUUUCAUCAAAAUUGCUUGAUAACUUUCUGUUAUUUGUUUCCACAAAUUCAUUUUUUUAAUUUUGAGAGGAUUCUUGAAAUUAUAUUUGAGAAAUUCUUACUCAACCAUCUUACUAAUACAUUUUGAGCCUUUAUCUAUCUAUGUAUUUCAAAAAGGUGUCCAAGAGUUUCAUAAAAAAUGUCGCCGUCGAUGCACUGUCACAAAGCAUGAAGAUUGUAAUAUUUUUAUUUUUCUUCACAGAGUUUUCUGUAGAAAUUUUAGCAAAUAUCACUUAAAAAUAUACUCUUUAAGGCGAAACUGAACAUAUUUUCUCAUUUUUUGGUUUUUGAUUUUUUAUUAACUGACGAAGCAAUAUUUUCAAAAUCGGUUCUCGUACACAUGUAGAGUAAGUAUCAAGGUAUCUCCUGAUCUUUUUUUUUUUUCCUGAUGGAAAAAGUUCUUCGUUUUUGCAGAAACCAUUUUAAGCAAAAUUUUGCAAAAAAAAAAGUGUUCUGCAAAAAUGGAAAACCACCACAAAAAAAAGAUACCUUGAUCCACUCUCUACAUGUGUACGAAUCCCGGUUUUGAAAGUGUUGCUUCGUUAUUCAAUAAAAAAAAUCAAAAACCAAAAAAAACGAGGAAAUACGUCCAGUUUUGUCUUUAUAAGUACUUCUAUAAGUACGAAGGAAAUACUUGAAAUUCUGUUCAUAGUAAAUUAUUCAGAAUCUUGUUCAAUAAACGUGCGUGUCUUCUCGAAUUCCUGAAAAAAAAAUGCCAAAAUUUCUUCAUUAACCUGAACAUUCGUCAAAAUUUUUCCUAAAAACUUUAUCAAGAUUUUUUUCAGAAAUUCCACCAAUGUUGCUUAAAGGGUUUCUAUCGGAAACAACUAAAGAAUCAUUGUUGCCAUACCCAUCUAGUUCUGCACAAUACAUGUUAGAAAAUUGUAGAUACAUGCAGCUUUGUAAAACUUGGAACAUGAAAGUUUCUCUUGAAAACUUUUAUUAUGCCGUACCCCAGGGUUUUUUGAAUUAAAUUCGUUCAACAAUGUUUGCUCACUAAUCAUAUUUUUGUUCCAAAAGUAACUAUUUAGCCACUUUAUUGCUAUCUGUAAGUCACUAUUUGGUCACUAUUUUCGAGAAUUUGGUCACUUGAAUAACUAUUUUGACCAUCAGUUCUCACUACCAGCCCUGGGAUGGAUCUUUUUAAACCGCAGCUUCUUCUGAAGCCGCCAGAAGGCACGACUUCCACUGAUGAUGUUCCAAUUUCAUUGUUGCCAGGCGUCAGUAAGGAUCCGAGGUAGACGAUUACCUCCAUCAGCUCGAAGGCAUUCCGUUCUAUCUUCACAUUACCGUGCCAUGCCCUAAUACCGUAACCUUAAGGAUAAGGAUGCUCUUCACUUCAAAGAGCCCUGGAAAAAUCAAUAAUCCAAGUUUCUUGAUUUUAAAAACGCUAUAUUAUUGCUUAUUGUGUGUAUUAUGUAUAAUAAAUAUAUUUAAUCCAAUUCCAAAUGUUUAAUCCAUUGUUAAAAUCAAAAUUGUAAAACAUAGCAUUGUUCCUAAUACCGUGUAUGUGACCCGUAUACAUUGGUGGUCCUUUGAAUCAUCACUACAUCAAUCAUACUAAGUUCAUACUUAAAAGAACCUGUGCGGCAAACGUUGCCUAGAGGUUUGUGCAAUUGAUUCAUAAAAUAAAAAGUAUCAAUAAUAUUUUCAGUUUGCAAGUUUUAGCCGAAACACGGUAUUUGGAACACAAAAGGAACCAUGCCCUAAUACCGUGUAUUGGUACUUUGCACUCAUAUUCUGUAAAUAUUUUUAAUUGCUUGUUUUGGUAAAUAUGUGCCAAAUUUAUCACGGCUAACUUAAGCAGGUUUAAUAUGCUAAUGAAUGAACUAGUUACUCAGUUAUAAAAAUAAUACACUUAGUAAAAUAUUUGAGUUUUUUGUCAAAUACACGGUAUUAGGAGGCACACGGUAUUAGGGCAUGGCACGGUACUACCAAAAUGGAUUGGGUCGUGUACGAUUCCGUUUAGUUCCUAUACCUAGUUCACCAGAAACCCUUACGCUGUUUUGCACACCGUCCAUCUCUGUGCGGUCGAUACUGUCGUAUGCAGACUUUAAGCCGCUGAACAGGUGAUGCGUCGGGACUUAGAAUUCACAGCAUUUCUGAAGCAUUUGCCAAACGGUGAAGAUCUAGUCCGCUGUCUACCGGCCAUAGAUGAAGCCGGCUUAAUUUCUUCCCACGAACUCAUUCGUUUCAGGUGACAGACGUGGAAGAUGAUCUGGGAUAGCACUUUGUAGCCAGCAUUCAAAAUAAGGAUUUUUCUGUCCGCGUCUUCGAUGUGGACGUAGAUUGUCGAGUUCAGGAACAGGAUCAGUAAUCUGUAAUCGAGAUUGGAGGUCCAUCUUCUUAUCGAUCGUUUUAUGUUCCGUCUUCAUUCUGAUUCGGCUUCGCUGCAUACCAGAAUCCAGCUGACCAAAAGUUUUCGCUGUGAACUACUAAUUUCCUCGUUCAUCCUAUCUCUCGAUUGGUGGGAGGCUUGACGAUUCACCUGAUCUUGAAGUGGAGUUCGAUGGCACUUUGUCUAUGCGACAAACCUGUAGAAAGUUAGCUUAAGACGUUUGCCUUUACUAGUGAUUAGAAAGUUCUUUCUUUCUAAAGAAUUUUCAAUUUGACUUUAUAGUUAGGUAUGUGUAUCAAGGAUUGCUGAAAUUCGUCUUCAACAAUUGAGUCUAAUACAUUUUAACUUACCCUUAUCUUUUUUUUUAAUCUUCAGGUUCCAUGCUUCAACCGACGGGUGGUCUGUUGCAACCUCAGCCGCUAAACGCCGUCAACAACAACUCGCUGCUCGGCAAUGGAACAGCAGGUUCCACUGCGACGAAACCCACUGCUAACGUCGGCACCACCUGGAAGAACGCCGGCAACGUCAACAUAGACCUGGACAAUCUGCUCGGUAACGCCAAGGGCAAAAAUGCCGGAAACGCACCCUCGAUGAACCAGAUGAAGAGCAUCCACUCGAGUCCGGUGCACCAGAUGCCAAUGCCGCCGAUGAUGCAACCCAACAACAAUCCCACAACUGCCUUUGGAGCAUUUCCAGUUACACCUCAACCCACCACCAGCACCAGCACCAUUCCAAGUGCGUUCAUGGGCCAGGGCUUCAUGAACAGCAGCAGCAAUAACAACAACAACAGCAGUUCGCUAAGCUUUGGCGCAUUUCAAUGAUCCACGGCGAUGGGCGUCAGCGGCCACCGGGUCGAGGCGUUCUAAGAAGGGGUGAUUCCCGUGGGUGACGUAUUAUUUCCAUUCCCUCCCCGUUUUUUUUUGUGGAAAUUCUUAAGUUAACAACAACAACAGCAGGAUUAGAUUGAUUCCGAUAUUACGACUGCCGCUGGCCUAUAUAUAAUGCGCAGAUUUAGGUUUUGGCACAGUGAUGCACAGUGGGCAGAAACUGAUGAAAUCACUUGAAUGUCGACUAAACAACGUUGUAAUUGCGUUGUAAUAGUGCGCAAUGUUUACAACUUUCCGCUGAUCAAUGUCUGGUUUUGCUCGUUUGCCAUGACAAACGCGCAUAAUGGCAUUUGGCAAAUCUUUCAUGAGAAUCUUGCUGACAUUGGCGCAUAACGUAGGUCAAAAUUAAUUUUCUUUCAUUGUGAAGUGUGCCAAAAUGUGUUUAACUUGAUUUUGAACUAUUGUUUUAGAAUGAUUUUAUACUUUUAUUAUUUUCCAUUGUAGGGGAGACUGGGGAGACUUGAUCCCUUUUUCUUAAUUUACCUGAAACUUUAAGAAAAACCACAAAACUAGAUCCGAUUUCCGUACAAAAUGGCAGGUUAACAUCUAUUACAAAUUAAUACACAACAGAAGACCUUUAAAUUAUUGUUAAAGUUUUCAAAACUAUGUUUUUAUGGAGGCAUGUCUUAUGAUGUAUUUUUCAAAAAUGGGUGACACUUGAUCCCCCUUUGAGCACAUGGUUUAUUUAAAGGGAAAAUAAUUCCAGAGUCUUCCUAUUCAUUUUCUUUUCGAGUUUUCUUGUAUUUUCGAUGAAUAUGGAGUGUUUGAAAUUGUAAGAUUUCCUUAAAUUUUUAAGGAUAUGGUUAAUGGAAAUGGGGAGACUUGAUCCCCCUUUUCUUGGUUUGUACUAAAGUUAUAAUUAUCUGACACAUUUUAUCGUUGAAUAGACUAGAAUUCCAAGUAAAUAGAAGCUUCCGAGUAGAAUUUUAUUUUUCACAUGUAUAAUGUGUGUGUAAUCCUCGAGGGAUCAAGUCUCCCCAUGUCACUGUUGUGUAUACUAAGCUGAAUUAAUUAAAAUAUGUUAACAACAGCCUUAUUUGGAUAAAUAAUUUUGAAAGUAUUUUAUUUAAACUAUGUGCUGUGAAAUUUAGACACGAUUUGGUUCAAUUUUCACAAAGUUAUUGAGAUUUUUCAGAAUCGCCCAGAAGAUUUCUGAAGGACUGAAAACAAACCAUCAGCCGUUAAAAAAUAAUGCAAUGUACAAUCGAAAUCACUUGUAGCCAAAACAUAGUCGUUUGUCCAAGAGUAGUUUUGGAAAAAAUAUGCUAGAAGAAAAAUGUUUUUGAUUCCGAGCAAAUAUGGGGGGAACAAGUCUCCCCAGGGAUCAAGUCUCCUCAGUCUCCCCUAAUGUGACGAUUAUGCGUCUACUUUUUAGAGUAUGUUGCAUUUUUUAUGUUUUCAGUAACUAAUUUUACUUGAUUUAUCACCUGUUUUUACUAUUGAUUAAGCUAGUGAAGCAAACAGGAAUAAAAGCUACUAAACUGCUAUCAGGAGUUUAUCAGUUUUCGACCACAGUGCCAUUGAUCCAUGAUGGCAAACAAAGAAAGUUUUCCAUAUAUUUUUCCUUUUUGUAAAUAGUUGUUAGUUCCCACAAGUGGAUCCGGGAACAUGUAUGAACAUGUUAACGCCAGUAAUGUUAACAAAACAAUAUUAGCGAAAUUAGUGAUUGUGACAUUUGAAGCAAGCAUGCAAUGCAGUAUUCAGAAUGCUUUUGAUCCCCCACACCUAUUCAAAUCGAAACGAAGUGUGUUGUAUAAUCUUGUAAGUACGUUGAUGGUGGAAACUCUAUUCCUAUCGAAAACUAUAUAACAAGUGAUCACAAACAAACCAUUGGUAGUAUUUAACUCAUUCCUCUUCAAAGCCUUUGGCACAAGGAUCGUCUCAACAACACAAAAGAGAAACCAACAAAGAAGGGUCAUGUUCGCUGCUAUGUCAAAACAUGUACAUGUGCGAAAGGAAUUAUAGAGUACCUCUACAAGAGUUCUUGCAUGAAAAUUCUAGGAAAAGUUUGGAAAUUACCAAUUAGCAAAUACCUACACAAAAGCUAAGAAAAAAUCCUUUGUUGAAUGCGUGAAAUGUGAUAGUUUAAUAGACUUUCUUACUUCUAAAUUCAAACUAGGGUUUUCACUUUUCUUAUUUUGAACCAUCCAUAAAGUACGUCACGUUUAGAGAAGGUACGAAUUCUUAAGCAAUCCCGGAAGACGGGAAACCCCGUACGAAGAAUUUAUCAGUCCAGCGUGAAGUACUUAACGGAUGUUCCUCUUCAGUUUUUGUUCUCCCGCCUGAUUGCAAACAACACUAAUUUGAGAAAUAAUCAGAAAAAAAACGGGAGAUUAUUAGCGUUUAUCCGCGUUUUGAGGUGUUAAAUUUUGUACGAUUCAAAAGUGUUACAUUGACGGGUUAAAAAUCAAACUAAGUAAGAGUGAUUGUGUCGUUUCUGUGGAAAAAAAAAUCUAGCAAACUUUGAACACUUAAGGGUCAUAAGAAGUUAGCAAUGAUGGUGAACUGUAAAGCGUGUGCCCUAAUGGAAGAUUUGUUGAACAGAAAACACGAGAAAUCGAGAAUAACAAAAUGUGCACAGAACGCAAUAAUAAGCCUAAAACUAUAUUUGUAACAAACAAUAGAACAUGAACAAACACAGGGUACUUUGGAAACCGGUGAAACAACCACAGCAAGUUAUCUACCAGCAUUUAUGUGUCACUUAAAAAUGCCGAUAUAGCUGAAUAGUGUAUGCAUUCAGAGGUGUAGUAGUACCAAAAGGAGAAGUUGAUUUGCGUGUAACUUGGUAGGCGUUGCAUUAUCAUUCAUCUUCCCAUCUUUUGUCUCUCUGAGAUAUUUCCCAACAAACAUUUUUGAUGUACAAGAGUGGAACAAACUGCUCGCAAGCCACCUUCAGCUUAAAACUGUUAUUCAGCUAGUUCUGUUACUUAGGUUACUAGAUAUCUGUUCGAUUAUAUAUUUUAAUCACUGACUUGACUUUAACCUUGGCACAAAUCCCCAAACGGAGGAUAACCUGCCUCUGGAGCUGACCUACUGAAUAAUCUGAUGCUAUUCAACAUUCAAGAUCCAGAAUAGCGACUUUGGAAAAUAAUGGCUAUCAUCAUGAUGUAACUUGUGCACAUCUGGUAUUGUAAGACCCAGCAUCCCAUGAUUUACUUUACGUUUGCUUUACUAAUAGCAGUGCCUAUGUCGAUCUGGGUGCCGACAUCGGUCGCCAUUUGACUACCUACAUAUUGGGAACUUUAAACAUUCUGUUUUGUUUGCCCAGCUAUCGUAAAACUGGAAGGUUUCACCGUGUUUACAUCCAACGAUUCGAUUGUUGACGUCAUUGAACUAACUCUGCAUAUCAGAGCACCGUUGAGUCCAUCGUGCGUUGUGCAGUUCUCUGUACGAAAAUGCCUCGUACUGUGUUUCAAUAAGGCCGACGAUUUUCUCAGGGACACCCUUGCGCCUGAGGGCUCCUCCCCACAUAUCUGCGUGAUUGAGACGGUCGGAAGCAUUUUCGUAAUCAAUGAAGACCAUGUAGAAAGAUUCUUGGAAUUCAUUAAUUUGCUCCUAGAUGAUACCGAGCGUGACAAUAUGGUCCACACAUGAUCGUGCGGUACGGAAUCCUGCUUGCUGCCGGAGAGUUGUGUCAAUCGCAUACAGUCAGAUCACCCUUUUUGGAUAUCUUUACUAAGACGGACGCCUUGCACCCAGUCGUCCGAAAAUGUCGCGAUUUUCCAUAUACUGUAGAAUAAUUGAUGCAGCAGUUGUGUGGCUACUAAGGGGUCGCAUAUCGGCUGAUAUGCGAUCGAGCUCUGGCUCUGUUCGAGUUCAUCUUGAAAGUGCUCGAAACAGCUUUUCAACUGGUCAGCCGGGUCGAUCAAUAACCGUUCAGACAUGUCGAGUUUAUGGACAUCUUCGUCGUGCUGAGACUGGCUUGGCGACGUUCACGCGGACGAAGUGCAUCUGAUUCGUCAACCAGAGAAGUUCCAGGCUAGCCUCAAAUAGUACCAAGUACUCCGCUUCCGCUGAAGACAAGCUAACACACUGCUGUUUUCUUGCAGCCCAGCUGAUGGAUCAUCUCCGAGUUUGAAUAUGAACCCAGAGUUGGAUUUACGGUCAACCUUGCCGACGAAAUCUUCUAGCUUACCGGUUCCACCGAGCUCAAGCUUCAAAUUCGCUUCGAUCAAGUUGGCUUCAGAGGGUUGACUGACCUUGCGCCCCAAGAUGGACGCCGCCAUCGCAAAAUCGGGUCGGAUGCAUACCGCAACGUACAGCAAACCGCCAAUCAGGCUUUAGUAGCACUCGCCGUUUGGCAUUGCUUCCUCUUCCUAUUGCUGCACAUUUGGAUAUUCAGGGUCAUCUUGCCUGUAUUCCGAAUAUACUUGAAUGCCUUCGACAGGUAAUCCACUCCUUCUGUUGUCCAGACUUGUCCCGAACAUAUCGUCGAUGUUCAGAAAAAUGAACGACGUUACUAUAUCGACGUUCCGGAUGUAGAGACACGGGUUUGCUUCGGAUGGUUCAUAUCCAAGCCGCUUCAGUUUCUCAUCUGGUUCCAGAUGCGUCCCGUUUGCUUGAGCCCGUAGAGGCUACGCUUCAACAGGCAUACCUCCUCCUGAGACCCGGUGUGAUAGCUCUGGGGUUGUUUUCUCGACUUUUUGGGCAUCUGCAGGGCUGUUACAGCUGACGCGGAUUUUGCGUUUUUCGCGGUUUUUGCGUUUCGCGCGGAUUUGGCGCGUUUUUGAAAAUUUCGGCGCGGCUUUUGCGGAAAUGGUUUUCAAAUGCACUUAUUUCAAAUAUGUAGACAUGUAGCACAACACAAUCAGGAUAAAUAAAGAACAUUUCCAUAUUGGAGUUAUGAAUUUUGUGAUUGAGUAAAAAUAAUGUUACUAGUCGCUAGCUUGGAGUGCUAAAUAAGUUGCACUGCACUAAACGUUCAAUUUUUGAAAACAGAGAAGUUCCUCUUCUGAAUUUCGUAGUCAACUUCUUGAAGUCAUUUCUGUCUUAACCCGGCUAAAUUCUUGGAUAGAAUUUUUUGUACGGAACUUAUUUAGUAAUGUCUGAGGUUCGAAAAACACUGAAUCAUGGUAAGAUUUCUGCAUGAAUUCUUAGAGUUUCUAGGUAAUUCUGAAAUCUGUUUUUUAUGGAAUUAGCUAAUUUUGGAUAAACUUUCUCACUGGAUAAACUUUUGAUUGAAUUAGAAGAAUCUCGUAUAGAAAAUCAUUGGUUUUGUAGUUGACUCUGUUGCUUGUAGAUCUUUUGUCGAAUCGAUUUUUGUUAAAAACUCUGGUAGAAUUAUCCUACAAAUAAACUUCUGUUGUCACGGUAAAAUUUAUCUUUGAUUUUCAAUCGGAGCAUUCGUUGAGAGGGGAGUAGCAAGCACAGUUAAUAAAGGGUUUCUUGGUAGAAUUGUGGAGGAUUUUUUUUAUAUGAAAUUAUGAAGCUUUUGGAAUCCUAUGCAAGAUAUUCUUGCUGAAAUAUUUACUGAAUUUCCAAGGUCGUGGUAUGGGCAGAAACUCUUAUCUUAAUUUUCUAAUAAACAAUACUUUUCUGCAUACCUUUUGCUCAAAGAUGAGAACAUUUGCCUGACGUUUUUUAUGAAAUGUUUCUAAUAAAUAUCACCUUUAGAUUUCAUUCCUUUUGGUAUUGGUGAUUUAUUUAAUCAAUGGAUAACGCUAGAAUCAAUUACUCAAUUUGUAUCUUCACAAAAAAUCUGAAAAUUUUCUUGCAGUUCUCUCAAACGAUCUUCUGAGACUUACUGCAGAUUUUAUAGCAGGAUUGUUAUGUUGUUAUUAUAAUGUUGGUUAUAAUUAUUUCAAAAAAUUUCCAUUUAUGUAACUGUUUCAGGGAACAGGAAAUCCUAUUCUCGUAAAAUAGUAGUCACCCUGAUUGGCCAACAAUCAUAGAACUAUUUAUUCGAAACUUUUUAUUACAAUUUAAAAAAAAAUUACCUGUUUGCAACAUUUCUUGGUUGAUGUAGAAGUUGCAUGGAUUAAUCAUAGUUAAAAUCGGUUUUAACAUUAGAAAUGAUCUUCAUCAGGAGUGCAACAAAAAACAUGCUCGAAAAAUUGAAAAAUUUAGGCUUUUUAUGAGCUUGAGUCAUCAAAAUCAUAUGUUUUUGUACUGGCGCGGAUUUCAAAUGGCUUGACGCGGAUUUUGCGGUUUCCAAAUCAAUAGUUUUGUAACAGCCCUGCAUCUGUCAGACGGUAUACAAUUAUAAAAUGUUCAUUGGCAGAGAAAGCUCAACUGUGGAAAUGCUCAUAGAAAACUAUGCUGAGAAGCACGCUCUGUCUCAGUUGGAACGUUACGCUAAGAUUUGAUUUAAUUUAGAAUUUUCAGCCUUAUGCAGUUUCAUAAUUUCAGCCUUUCGUGGAUUCAACCUUUCGUGUGUUCAACCUUUUGUGAUUCAACCUAAUGUUUGCAUCGCCACGUAGGCCUACGAUCCGAAAAAUUGCAGAUGAUUGACGAACUGGGUUCUGGGAUGUCGUCCACAAUCUGUGAACUUGAAUACGAAAACAUCGCAACCAUGACGCCGCUGCUGGUCCUCCUCCCUUGGUGCUUUGGUUCGUUCUUCCGAGUUUCCUCUUAGUCCUGCGCCACGGGCUGUUCAUAAACCACGUAGAUCAAAAUUUGAUAAUCUCAGACAAAUUCCACCACCCCUACCCCUCGUAGACUUUUGUCCAUACAAACAUUUUGAAAUUUGUAUGGAGCGUAGACUUUGGCCAGACUCCCCUCCCCCCCAAAAAGUCUACGUGGUUUAUGAACAGCCCCCCAGCAAACGGCAGUCCCUUUGCUUGUGUCUCCGAAAGCAGUUCGAAGAUAGCUUGCAUUUUCGUGAUGUGCUUGUCGAUUUUCUCGCCAUCAGUGUAACGCAUAUCGCACAGCUUCUUGAGGCUCGAAGUUCCUUCUGAGGCUCUCCCAGGCUUCCCUCGACAUGGUGGUGUCUUGAAACAGCUUCCGUUGGUUUGUUGAAGGUCCCAUCCAAGAGAUAUCAGUCAGUGCCUGGGAUGGGAAACCCAACAAACAUUUUUGCUGUAGAAGAGUGGAACAAACCACUCUUAAGCAAACUUUAGAAACUAUUAUUCAGCUAGUUCUGUUUCUUGGGAAAGAAAACCUCGCCUGUUCUGUUUUGUUAUUCCAACAGGUUUUGGGCCUAGGAACGCUCUGGUGGUGGUUCGGGAAGCGAGGAGACCAAGAUGUGGUAUCCAAGAUAGGAUGAGGAGGCCAAUACCCAAUGAGGUGUCAAGAUGCGAUGAGGCCGAGUGCCAAUAUUCGUUGAGAUACCGAGAGGAGUGAUAACCGUGUGGGACCUACGCUGAAAGCAAGAGGCAGAGGGUGCUGACUGAUUGAUAGACGCUGGAGCUGUUUGGCCCGGGGUGGAAGACGCAUUGAACCAGGAUGAGCUUGGUAGCCACUUUAGUAGCAGAAGUAGCUUUGAACCAGGAGCUUGUAAGCAGAAUUAAGCUGGAACCAGGAGCAGUUUGUCGUUCCCUAGGUUUGAACAGCACCUCUUUGGUGAACAGACGCUCGGGACGUACCUCCUCGAUCUAACUGAAGUCAGAAGAAAAACAGUGCCCAAGCUGCACUACCAGCUAAACUCUCGGCUGGCGGUCUUUGUUAUUGAUUGACCCGUGGAAGCAUGAGAUAGAAACUCGUGAGGACCAGAGUUAUGUAGAGCGCUCCUUGCCGACUCACCAUUUUGCAGCCCAAAAAAUUGGUUCCAACUCGUAAAAACACUCAUCGCUAAGAGACCCAAUGUCAAAUGUAGACUCUACUUAGAUUUCCAAGAAUAGGCAACGAGUCAUUGAAAAUAUGAUCAAAAGAUGAUAGUUACGCUCAUUCAGCGAAUGGAGUGUCACAAAAGUCGAAGUCGUAUACCGAGGUGAGAAAUCUCGACUCGAAUGUAGUGACUCAUCGAAUGGAGAGUCACCUCAUUCGAGUCGAGAUUCCUCACCUCGAUAUACGACUCUGACUUUUGUCACGUCACUCCAAUCGCAGAAUGAGCACAAGUAGAGCAGGUUGUUUGAAGGCGUCGAAGAAAGACGAAAAUAUCAGCAAUUUGCAUUUGUUGCACAAAAAGUGGUACUAGGUUACUGCCGUGUGCAGCAUAGUUGUCUCAUGUUCUAUGGGAAUCUCUAUCAAUAUGAGACAACUAUGCUGCACACAGCAGGGUACUUGUCGGAACUUUUGCUAUUUUUUUAAUAGUUUAUUCAUUUUGUUUAUGAAAACAAAGGCUGAAAAAGUUUGCCAGACAUGUUUUUACACAUUCUGUAUAGAAAUUCUCCGAGAUCUACUUCAGCUUGUUUUCCAGAUCACUAAUAUAACACUUCAGGAAAAACUCCGAAAACCCUCUCCAUAUAUGAAUGGCCGAAAUCUUGAAGUCUGUCAUUCUUGGGCAGACUCUGUCUAAUAAAUCGAAGUUGACGAAUCAAUCAAAACUAGCCUUUUGUGUAAAGCUGUACAUAUAGAAUAUCAUAUAUUUCAUUGAAUGAAUCGCCCAUGCAAGUCAUACUGCGCGUGUAAUCCGAUGUCACGUGCGUUGGUAUAAAUUCUAGUACUACACUAUGGCGCGCAUUCUACUACUUAUAAAUAGUUGACGGUGGUGGUGACUAUAGAUAAGCCUGCAAGAACGAGUUCUCGUGCAGCAGUUGAAUAAACGCAUUGUGAAAUUUACUUUAAUUAGUCAAACAAAUUUUUCUAAACAGUAUAUGUUAUCUAUAUUUUACAUUAAACGUCCUAUCAACGAUGUGCAACGCGAAUAAAUGCGGAAACUGUUGAAGCCUUCUUUAGUGUAGUUUGAUAUCAGCUUAACGUUUCUCAUUCAUUGCGGAGCACAUUGUUCACCACCCUAGAGCUUCCUAACCUAGUUUUUUUUUACAUUUUGUUAGUUAUCUAUUCGUUUUGUAUCUAUUUUACUCAAUUCUGUUAUAUUUACAUAGUUUAAUAACCACAUUUCCAUUAGUACUAGCAUGAUUAUGCCUUCCGGAUUGCAUUCAUACAACGCACCUUGUUACAAAUGGACCGAAAGCAAAAACGCAACGUUUUAAACAUAUCGAGACGCACCUAUUACAACUACUGCUAUUUUUUAAAUAUAUUAUGUACCUUCAACAGAGCAUUCGUUCGCUUUUCCCGGUAAUUUUGUUUCACACAAAACUAUUUUUGUCUAUAGGGAAAAAACAAUCCUGGCAAAGCUUCUCCUUUCGCCUCGAUGUAUGCUAAGAUAUUAGAGAAAUGAAAAACAAUGUUUAGGCUUAAAAUUUGCAAUCUAAUUUUUGUCAUUAACGCAUAUUAUAUUGUAAAUGUUCACUGCUGUUGACAAACAUACACAUACAUAGUACACACCUACUUACACAUUUGCAAUAUAAGAAAAUUACUAAAUCAUUAGCAUGCGCAAUUACCUUAGGUACCGAUGCCCUUUGAUCCCCGUUUUGCGAUGUUAUGUUUACAGUGCAGUAGUUGAAUGAUUGUUUCCAAUUUUUUACGAUAAAUUUAUGUGGGUGUUAUGAGAGAAAAGUCCUAUUUAUUUCAGCGUUCUUUCCUAUAUUCCAUACAACAAAAAACACGGUUGGAAUAAAUCAUCAGGUGGACCUGUCCGCGCAGAAAAACACGAAUCAAUCAAAGUAGGAACACGACAGAGUGACAGGCACACAACCCUUUUUGGGAAGUUUUAGCGCGAAAGUGUAAAUUAGAUUUUCUAACAUGAGAAAAAAAGGGCACACCGUGGAACAUGAGUGAAGCAAAACUUGAUAUAUUUGUUGACGAAUAAAACUGAACGAAUAACUAAAUGUG
Aedes albopictus (Asian tiger mosquito) is the source of this 17988-nucleotide long non-coding RNA. RefSeq lists it as uncharacterized. The transcript has 2 exons. Lineage: Eukaryota; Metazoa; Arthropoda; Insecta; Diptera; Culicidae. The record is from RefSeq and is a predicted model, not a curated record.